Molecule: small RNA, 89 nt
Filed under: Salmonella enterica
Lineage: Bacteria; Pseudomonadati; Pseudomonadota; Gammaproteobacteria; Enterobacterales; Enterobacteriaceae
Description: partial RtT sRNA
Rfam family: RtT RNA (bases 1-50)
About the family: This family represents a bacterial cis-regulatory element known as RtT RNA. The exact function of RtT is unknown although it is thought that it may be involved in changing the cellular response in relation to amino acid starvation.
Source: RNAcentral
ACCCGAGCGAAGCGAGAGAACGUUGCGCGAGCAACGGCCCGCAGGGCGAGCCAUCCUCUCAUUGCUGACAUAUUCCACUGCUUUUGCCG